RNAcentral lists this ribosomal RNA (433 nucleotides) under uncultured bacterium. Its description in RNAcentral is "partial 16S ribosomal RNA". It matches the Rfam family "Bacterial small subunit ribosomal RNA", at positions 29 to 507 of the family's 1533-position model. The record is from RNAcentral.
AACGAACGCUGGCGGCAGGCCUAACACAUGCAAGUCGAGCGAGGACUUCGGUUCUAGCGGCGGACGGGUGAGUAACGCGUGGGAAUGUGCCCUUCUCUACGGAAUAGCCCUGGGAAACUGGGAGUAAUACCGUAUACGCCCUUUUGGGGAAAGAUUUAUCGGAGAAGGAUCAGCCUGCGUGGGAUUAGGUAGUUGGUGGGGUAAUGGCCUACCACGCCGACGAUCCAUAGCUGGGUUGAGAGGAUGCUCAGCCACACUGGGACUGAGACACGGCCCAGACUCCUACGGGAGGCAGCAGUGGGGAAUCUUAGACAAUGGGGGCAACCCUGAUCGAGCCAUGCCGCGUGAGUGAUGAAGGCCUUAGGGUUGUAAAGCUCUUUCAGCUGGGAAGAUAAUGACGUUACCAGCAGAAGAAGCCCCGGCCAACUCCGUG